UUCGGAUUGGAGUCUGCAACCCGACUCCAUGAAGCUGGAUUCGCUAGUAAUCGCGCAUCAGCCACGGCGCGGUGAAUACGUUCCCGGGCCUUGUACACACCGCCCGUCAAGCCAUGGGAGCCGGGGGUGCCUGAAGGCCGUGACCGCGAGGAGCGGCCUAGGGUAAAACUGGUGACUGGGGCUAAGUCGUAACAAGGUACC
RNAcentral lists this ribosomal RNA (201 nucleotides) under uncultured bacterium. RNAcentral's name for it is "partial 16S ribosomal RNA". It matches the Rfam family "Bacterial small subunit ribosomal RNA", at positions 1292 to 1500 of the family's 1533-position model. The record is from RNAcentral.